CCAGACUCCUACGGGAGGCAGCAGUGGGGAAUAUUGCACAAUGGGGGAAACCCUGAUGCAGCAACGCCGCGUGAGUGAGGAAGUAUUUCGGUAUGUAAAGCUCUAUCAGCAGGGAAUAGAAAAGAAGGUACCUGAAAAAGAAGCCCCGGCUAACUACGUGCCAGCAGCCGCGGUAAUACGUAGGGGGCAAGCGUUAUCCGGAUUUACUGGGUGUAAAGGGAGCGUAGACGGCUGAGCAAGUCUGAAGUGAAAGGCGGGGGCCCAACCCCCGGACUGCUUUGGAAACUGUAUAGCUAGAGUGCAGGAGAGGGAAGUGGAAUUCCUAGUGUAGCGGUGAAAUGCGUAGAUAUUAGGAGGAACACCAGUGGCGAAGGCGGCUUACUGGACUGUAACUGACGUUGAGGCUCGAAAGCGUGGGGAGCAAACAGGAUUAGAUACCCUAGUACUA
Molecule: ribosomal RNA, 448 nt
Filed under: uncultured bacterium
Lineage: Bacteria
Description: bacterial SSU rRNA
Rfam family: Bacterial small subunit ribosomal RNA
Source: RNAcentral